UACGGAGGGAGCGAGCGUUGUCCGAAGUUACUGGGCGUAAAGCGCGCGUAGGCGGCUCUUUAAGUCUGGUGUGAAAGGUUCAGGGCUCAACCCGAACAGUGCACUGGAUACUGGAGAGCUUGAGUUAGGGAGAGGAGAGUGGAAUUCCUGGUGUAGCGGUGAAAUGCGUAGAUAUCAGGAGGAACACCUGUGGUGUAGACAGCUUACUGGACCACUUCUGACGCUGAGACACGAAAGCGUGGGUAGCAAACAGG
RNAcentral lists this ribosomal RNA (254 nucleotides) under uncultured bacterium. RNAcentral's name for it is "partial 16S ribosomal RNA". It matches the Rfam family "Bacterial small subunit ribosomal RNA", at positions 524 to 776 of the family's 1533-position model. The record is from RNAcentral.